RNAcentral lists this unclassified non-coding RNA (1816 nucleotides) under Centruroides sculpturatus (bark scorpion). Its description in RNAcentral is "uncharacterized LOC111638003, transcript variant X1". The record is from RNAcentral. Lineage: Eukaryota; Metazoa; Arthropoda; Arachnida; Scorpiones; Buthidae.
AGAUAGAUAUCUGAUAACAUAAGGAUAUUAUUAUAAGAAACGAGUAACCAAAAUAAUAUAAAUAAAGCAUAUAAGUUACAUAACUACCCAAACUGUACGAAUCGAAACCAAAAAUAUAACACAAUAAUAAGUUUAAAAAACCCAUCCGAUGGCGAAGGGUAUUCUUGAACGAAGUAGACAAAUACACGGUAAAAACAUCGUUCUCGUACAUUUUCUUUUUCUAAUAUAAAAAUAGUAUAUAGCCUAUGUUCAUCCUGAAGGAAUAAGCUUUGCAAUUGCGAAAUAAUUUUAAAAAUCGGCUCAGUUUAUUCGGAGUUUACCUCUAGCAAACAAACGAACAAACAAACAUUUUCGCUUUACGUAUUAGAAAGCCUGUAGAUAACUUUUAACUUUUAUUUAAUAUUUUAAAAAUCUUAUUUAAAUAUAGGCUAUAACUAAACCUCAAAUUAAAAUUAUUAAAAUUGUAUAACAUCUUCCCCAGGCUAUAAAAUAUUUAUGAAAAAAUUGUUUAACAACGAUCUUAUUUGAUAUUCCAGGAAUAAAGCUGAUCGUAUAGAUAAAGGCAAAUUCACUAUUAUAUAAUAAACAAAGCAACCUUGAGAAAGUAACCUGUAGAAGGUUAUCAAGAAGACUGAAUAAUUCAAAUUAUUUUGAAGAUGAAAUAAUUGGUUUGGAUCAGCGAAUCAAUCAUUGAGAAGUCUUUCAGCUUUAAAAAAAACUCAUAUAAAUAUAUCAAAAGUUAAUCAGAAGCAAUUUAAAAUAUCGAAAUGAAAGUUAAAAGUUUCAUUUUUCUUACUUUGCUUUAUUUUUUUAAAACCGAGGGCUUAAAUACAAAACCAUACUCAUUUUGUUUAAAGAGUUUUGUGGAUAGAUAUUGUGCUUUGACUGAUCGAAAAGCAAUAUCCGAAUGUGUAAGACAACUUAACGGUAGCAGAAAUUUUGAGAUAUUUGAACAUUGUUAUAAUUCCAUUUCUGAAUUUGGAGUAUCUUUGAGUUCAAGUGAAAAGCUGAAUAGAGUUUGUGAUUUGGAUAUUGAUGAAUAUAUUGGAAUCUCUAAUUGUUGCGAAUAUGGGGCAAUUUUGGAUCUAAAAAGAAAGGGAAACGUAUACAAUAAUAAUCAGCACUGCCUUUCUAAACAAGAAAGAAUAGAAAGGAAUGUUUGUGGACAUCUACGACUUCAUCAUAUUCCGAAAUUCUAUAAUCCAAUUUAAACUUUCGUAUGCUUUUCGGACAGUCUAUCAUCCCUCAUCAGCUGUGCUUGUUACAAUUGUUUUUACAGAUUUCUUUUAUUGACAGUACAAACAGUAGCAGAGUUUAUACAUAAUGAAUGCUGUUUAAUAAAUUAAUUGUGAAGUAAAUGAAGUUUUUGCAAUCUGUCAGCUCGUACCAAUUACGUUUACUACUACUAACGCGAUGCUACUGUGACAAUGCCGAAGGGCUCGACCACAUUCUUCGCACCACAGGACCGAAGGGUCGACAUCGCGUAGGCGAAGACCGCAAUGACAACUUCGUCAGGACUGACACCACUGUGUCUUUGAGUAGACACAGACCGUUACAUUCGCAGGUACACGCGAGUAGUCACGUCUGUGGAAGCUUAAGUUUGGAAUGGAGACGGAGGGAGAUAUCCGGAAGAAGUGCACUCCAAGAGGCUAUUCAUUUAACAAACUCCCGUUUAUUCAGAGAGGCUGUUUACAGGAUUUUGAGACUGAGGAGCUAGCUUUCUCACUAACUCGAGUAACCAUCAACGGGGAAGCUUAUCAUAUCAAGAGAGAGAGAGAACUUACAAAACUUUCGCGCGACGACAAAUACCUGGAGU